AUACGGAGGGUGCAAGCGUUAAUCGGAAUUACUGGGCGUAAAGCGCGCGUAGGUUGUCUAGUAAGUCAGAUGUGAAAGCCCCGGGCUCAACCCGGGAACUGCAUCUGAAACUGCUAGGCUAGAGUAUGGUAGAGGAUAGCGGAAUUCCAGGUGUAGCGGUAAAAUGCGUAGAUAUCUGGAGGAACAUCAGUGGCGAAGGCGGCUAUCUGGACCAAUACUGACGCUGAGGCCCGAAAGCGUGGGGAGCAAACAGGAUUAGAAACCCCAGUAGUCC
Molecule: ribosomal RNA, 274 nt
Filed under: uncultured bacterium
Lineage: Bacteria
Description: partial 16S ribosomal RNA
Rfam family: Bacterial small subunit ribosomal RNA
Source: RNAcentral